RNAcentral lists this ribosomal RNA (738 nucleotides) under Bacillus pumilus. Its description in RNAcentral is "bacterial SSU rRNA". It matches the Rfam family "Bacterial small subunit ribosomal RNA", at positions 407 to 1138 of the family's 1533-position model. The record is from RNAcentral. Lineage: Bacteria; Bacillati; Bacillota; Bacilli; Caryophanales; Bacillaceae.
GAUGAAGGUUUUCGGAUCGUAAAGCUCUGUUGUUAGGGAAGAACAAGUGCAAGAGUAACUGCUUGCACCUUGACGGUACCUAACCAGAAAGCCACGGCUAACUACGUGCCAGCAGCCGCGGUAAUACGUAGGUGGCAAGCGUUGUCCGGAAUUAUUGGGCGUAAAGGGCUCGCAGGCGGUUUCUUAAGUCUGAUGUGAAAGCCCCCGGCUCAACCGGGGAGGGUCAUUGGAAACUGGGAAACUUGAGUGCAGAAGAGGAGAGUGGAAUUCCACGUGUAGCGGUGAAAUGCGUAGAGAUGUGGAGGAACACCAGUGGCGAAGGCGACUCUCUGGUCUGUAACUGACGCUGAGGAGCGAAAGCGUGGGGAGCGAACAGGAUUAGAUACCCUGGUAGUCCACGCCGUAAACGAUGAGUGCUAAGUGUUAGGGGGUUUCCGCCCCUUAGUGCUGCAGCUAACGCAUUAAGCACUCCGCCUGGGGAGUACGGUCGCAAGACUGAAACUCAAAGGAAUUGACGGGGGCCCGCACAAGCGGUGGAGCAUGUGGUUUAAUUCGAAGCAACGCGAAGAACCUUACCAGGUCUUGACAUCCUCUGACAACCCUAGAGAUAGGGCUUUCCCUUCGGGGACAGAGUGACAGGUGGUGCAUGGUUGUCGUCAGCUCGUGUCGUGAGAUGUUGGGUUAAGUCCCGCAACGAGCGCAACCCUUGAUCUUAGUUGCCAGCAUUCAGUUGGGCAC